GUGAUUAAAUCGAGCGUGUCUUCAUUGACCGCUCACCCUUCUCACCACCCACAUACACCUGUGCACUGUUUAGCCUGAGCCGGUUUUCCGGUCCAGGCUAUCAUUUCAUACAAACUCUAGUCUUAUGAAUGUAAGCGUUUUAAUAACAUAAUA
This 153-nucleotide unclassified non-coding RNA is filed under the name soil metagenome. RNAcentral's name for it is "partial internal transcribed spacer 1". The record is from RNAcentral.